GACGAACGCUGGCGGCGUGCUUAACACAUGCAAGUCGAACGGAAAGGCCCUGCUUGCAGGGUGCUCGAGUGGCGAACGGGUGAGUAACACGUGGGUGAUCUGCCCCUUACUUUGGGAUAAGCCUGGGAAACUGGGUCUAAUACUGGAUAGGACCAUGCUGUAGGUGGUGUGGUGGAAAGAUUAGUUUCGGUAAGGGAUGAGCUCGCUGCCUAUCAGCUUGUUGGUGGGGUAAUGGCCUACCAAGGCGUCGACGGGUAGCCGGCCUGAGAGGGUGGACGGCCACAUUGGGACUGAGAUACGGCCCAGACUCCUACGGGAGGCAGCAGUGGGGAAUAUUGCACAAUGGGCGCAAGCCUGAUGCAGCGACGCCGCGUGGGGGAUGACGGCCUUCGGGUUGUAAACUCCUUUCAGCCAUGACGAAGCCCUUGUGGUGACGGUAGUGGUAGAAGAAGCACCGGCUAACUACGUG
Molecule: ribosomal RNA, 469 nt
Filed under: uncultured bacterium
Lineage: Bacteria
Description: partial 16S ribosomal RNA
Rfam family: Bacterial small subunit ribosomal RNA
Source: RNAcentral